GCCGGGGUAGCUCAAUCGUAAGCAUCACCACGACGAUACGUCAACUCAAACCACUAUUCUAACUCUCCACCAGGGUAGAGCGUGUGGCUCUUAGACUACUAGGAGUAGUGAAACCUCAAGGUCGCGGGUUCGAGCCCCGCCUUCGGCU
Molecule: transfer RNA, 148 nt
Filed under: Hortaea werneckii
Lineage: Eukaryota; Fungi; Ascomycota; Dothideomycetes; Mycosphaerellales; Teratosphaeriaceae
Description: tRNA-Lys
Rfam family: tRNA
About the family: Transfer RNA (tRNA) molecules are approximately 80 nucleotides in length. Their secondary structure includes four short double-helical elements and three loops (D, anti-codon, and T loops).
Source: RNAcentral